RNAcentral lists this ribosomal RNA (252 nucleotides) under uncultured bacterium. RNAcentral describes it as "partial 16S ribosomal RNA". It matches the Rfam family "Bacterial small subunit ribosomal RNA", at positions 524 to 776 of the family's 1533-position model. The record is from RNAcentral.
UACGUAGGGGGCAAGCGUUGUCCGGAAUUAUUGGGCGUAAAGCGCGCGCAGGCGGUCAUUUAAGUCUGGUGUUUAAUCCUGGGGCUCAACCCCGGGUCGCACUGGAAACUGGGUGGCUUGAGUACAGAAGAGGAGAGUGGAAUUCCACGUGUAGCGGUGAAAUGCGUAGAUAUGUGGAGGAACACCAGUGGCGAAGGCGACUCUCUGGGCUGUAACUGACGCUGAGGCGCGAAAGCGUGGGGAGCAAACAGG